Molecule: unclassified non-coding RNA, 347 nt
Filed under: soil metagenome
Description: partial contains 5.8S ribosomal RNA, internal transcribed spacer 2, and large subunit ribosomal RNA
Rfam family: 5.8S ribosomal RNA (bases 2-120)
Source: RNAcentral
UAUGAAGAACGUAGCGAAAUGCGAUAAGUAAUGUGAAUUGCAGAAUUCAGUGAAUCAUCGAGUCUUUGAACGCACAUUGCGCCCCCUGGUAUUCCGGGGGGCAUGCCUGUCCGAGCGUCAUUGCUGCCCUCAAGCACGGCUUGUGUGUUGGGCCGUCGUCCCCCUCCUAGGGGACGGGCCCGAAAGGCAGCGGCGGCACCGCGUCCGGUCCUCGAGCGUAUGGGGCUUCGUCACCCGCUCCGUAGGCCCGGCCGGCGCUUGCCGACGACCAUCAAUCUCUUUCUCCAGGUUGACCUCGGAUCAGGUAGGGAUACCCGCUGAACUUAAGCAUAUCAAUAAGCGGAGGA